GCAUGCUGAUUUUGGUGACCUUUUGCCUUCUCCUGAUCAGUAUAGGAGUCUUGUUGGUAAACUCUUAUUUCUGACUCAUACUAGGCGUGACAUCUGUUUUGCUGUGCAACAUCUGAGACAGUUCCUCAAAUGCCCCAGACUCCCCCAUUUGAUUGCUGCCCUUCAUGUGUUGAGAUAUCUUAAAGGCACUCCUUCUCUGGGCCUCUUUUAUUCUGAUUGCAAUGAUUUCACUGUUGUUGGUUAUUCUGAUAGUGACUGGGCUGCCUGCCCUGAUACAAGGAGGUCUGUUACUGGGUUCUGUAUUGUUCUGGGUGGUUGCCUGAUUAGUUGGAAAUCUAAAAAGCAACCAGUAGUUUCUUUAUCUUCUGCUGAGGCUGAAUACAGGGCCCUCAGUAAAGUUGUUGCUGAACUAUCUUGGUUGUCUCGUUUAUUUCUUGAUCUUGGAGUUUCUGUCUCUCUUCCUUUUUCUGUGUAUUGUGACAGCCAGGCUGCUAUUCACAUUGCUAAGAAUCCCGUUUUUCAUUAACGGACCAAACGAAGUGGACUGUCACUUUGUACGCGAUCAGCUCCAGACUGGUCUUAUUCAACUGUUUCAUGUCUCUACAACUCGUCAGCUGGCUGACCUUCUGACCAAGCCUUUGCCUGGGACUGUGCUUCAUCCAUUGUUGCUCAAGUUACAGGUGGUAUCCCCCUCCAACUUGAAGGGGGGGGGGGGGGCCUUUGCCUGGUACUGUUCUUAAUCCCUUGUUGCUCAAGUUGCAGGUGGUCUCACCCUCCAACUUGAGGGGGGGUGUUGAGAUGAGAGAUUAUACGUGACAUAGACUUGUAUAGCCUUGUAUAUUCAUUGUAUACUCAUUGUAUAUUUACUGUAUACCCAUGGUAUACCUUGUAAUGGGCUAUGAUGAUUACCUAUUCUGGACUGUGUAUCUGAGACCACAGGUAUUUAAUUUUGGGCCGGAUCACCCGACCCGACCCGAUAAUAUUUCUUUCCUCUUCCUAUUUUUGGGAUCAACUCUUAGUCAGGCACGAGACGGAACUAUGAUUUGAAGUUUAAAAAUUUAUGAUUUUAAAUUAUUUUAAUUAUUAAAUUCUAAAUUAGUAACGUAAACAUUUUCAAUGAUUCUAUACAAAUAUAAACUUCGGACCAGAACUGGUCAGCCGAACCCGUAAUCAGCAUACCAGCCCCGAUUGUUGAGAUGAGAGAUUAUACGUGACAUAGACUUGUAUAGACUUGUAUAGCCUUGUAUAUUCAUUGUAUACUCAUUGUAUAUUUACUGUAUACCCAUGGUAUACCUUGUAAUGGGCUAUGAUGAUUACCUAUUCUGGACUGUGUAUC
This 1336-nucleotide long non-coding RNA is filed under the name Nicotiana benthamiana. RNAcentral describes it as "long non-coding RNA (NBEN_LNC006184)". The record is from RNAcentral. Lineage: Eukaryota; Viridiplantae; Streptophyta; Magnoliopsida; Solanales; Solanaceae.